RNAcentral lists this long non-coding RNA (406 nucleotides) under Homo sapiens (human). Its description in RNAcentral is "HSALNT0263253". The record is from RNAcentral. Lineage: Eukaryota; Metazoa; Chordata; Mammalia; Primates; Hominidae.
CCAAGCAGAGAGAAUUCGGAUGGGCAAAGACCGUGAAGUAGGCUCAUGCCUGGUGAAUUUCAGGAAUGGUCAGUAGAUAGGGCAGCUGAGCCGAGGGAGUGGCUGAUCUCGUCUCGGCUCUGCUGGGGUUGACUCAAAUUCAGGUCUACUGCAUGUGUCUUUUGUUCUUCUGGGACCAGCCUGUUUGAUGCAGGAGGUUUGGACAGAAGGGGGACAAUGUCUCAGAGGUUCACAAGGUGCUCAGAGGAAAUGCUGUGUGAGGACACAGCAAGAAGGCAGCCAUUUACAAGCCAGGCAGAGAGCCUUCACCAGAAACCCUCCCUGACAGCACCUUGAUCUCAGAUUUCCAGCCUCUCAGUGAGAGGCUGAACUGUGAGAAAAUAAAUUUCUGUUGUUUAAUCCUCUC